GAAAAUGAGAGUUUGAUCCUGGCUCAGGACGAACGCUGGCGGCGUGCCUAAUACAUGCAAGUCGAGCGAGCUUGCCUAGAUGAUUUUAGUGCUUGCACUAAAUGAAACUAGAUACAAGCGAGCGGCGGACGGGUGAGUAACACGUGGGUAACCUGCCCAAGAGACUGGGAUAACACCUGGAAACAGAUGCUAAUACCGGAUAACAACACUAGACGCAUGUCUAGAGUUUGAAAGAUGGUUCUGCUAUCACUCUUGGAUGGACCUGCGGUGCAUUAGCUAGUUGGUAA
RNAcentral lists this ribosomal RNA (287 nucleotides) under Bifidobacterium animalis subsp. lactis. RNAcentral's name for it is "partial 16S ribosomal RNA". It matches the Rfam family "Bacterial small subunit ribosomal RNA", at positions 1 to 255 of the family's 1533-position model. The record is from RNAcentral. Lineage: Bacteria; Bacillati; Actinomycetota; Actinomycetes; Bifidobacteriales; Bifidobacteriaceae.